CCUAGCUGCCCCGAUUGAGGCUAUUUCUACAGACUUAUGGGGGCAGCUGAUUGCCCUAAUCACAGAUUAGGUUCAGUGACCAGGUAAGAACAGAGCUUUAAAAAAUAAAAACAAAGUCAAAGCCAGUUUAUUGACCCCAUGUAGGGAAUAGAAGACGGUCAGGAGGGCAGAAAUAUCAAUUGUCCAUCCCCAAGUGACCUUAGUCUCAUGAUUUUCUCAGACCUGCUUGUUGGUUUCCUUCUGUUGUGAGAAAUCAGUGACUGGGCUCUCCAGUGAGGCGAGGAGUGGAGAUGAGAUCUCAGCAGGCGAGUGAACCACAGAAGGCUAGACCUGGGGUUCACUCCUAGGUCUCCUAACCAGUUCCCGAGUGACUUUGGACAGGUCACCUUUCCUCCUCGGCUUCCUCAUCGGGUCAAAACGACAGGGCUGGGCUUCAUGGUCUGCAAGGACCUUCCAAAUCUAAAUUCUAUGGCAUUGAUGCCAUAGGACAUGGGGGAAAUAAUAAUAAUAGGAGGGGAUACAAAGAAUGGGAAAAAUUGGCCUGGGAGUGUGCUGGGGAUGGUUUUCCUUCCGCCAACAUGUGGCUGGCUGUAGCGUAAAGUCUUGGGCAUUCAUAAUUAGCUUCAUGCUUCCCUCCUUUGCAGGGAUAAAGCUUGGAGUGUGUGUGUGUGUGUGUGUGUGUGUGUGUGUGUGUGUGUCUGUCUGUCUCUCUCCCUCUUUUUUUUUUCUUUUAAUACUGCAGGUCUCCCCAGCCUUCAGCAGCCCCAUAAUUUUCCUUCUUUCGUUCUGGGGCCUGGUUUCGCAUGCACCAAGGUACAACUGUGAAGCGUUAAUCUCCAUCCAGGCCUGACAAGCAUGUGUUUUUCUUUAGUGAGGCGCUAUCUGGAACAGCUCCUUCCUAGAAAGAGUUGUGGUGGUACCUGGCCGGCCCCCGCCCUGUGAGACGUUGUCAUCUACAGUUUACAAAACAGUUACCUGAGCCCAUUUCACAGGUGAGGAAACUGAGGUCUGGAGAAAAGAGUGCGCUGCCCUCCCUUCUUCUGCCAUCUUUCAACUACCAAGCAUCAGGAUUGGCAUUGGAACACAAGGCAUCAUGGGUCUACGGUGUGUUGCACCCACUGAGUCUCUAAUGCCCAAGAUCUAAUUUCUCAUAUAGCCAGUCAGACCGCAUCUCGAGGUUGGUUCUGGCCACCGCGUGUUUGGAAGGAUGAUGCUAAGUCUGCAGAGGGAGGGCCUCAAGUCUAUGUCUCCGUCCAGCUGAGCUGAAGUAAGCACCAGGCCCAGGGACCUCGGCUGAACCACCUGUCCAGCAAAGAUAUCGUGUCCAGGGGCAGUGAAUGGAGGAUAUGAAAAGAAGAGAAAGACAUUGGGAUCCUGUUGUGCUGAAAGUGUGUGUGUUGCCUUGUCCAAAUGUGUUCCUUGUGGGGCAGCUAGGUGCUGCAGUGGAUAGAGCACUGGCCUUGAAGUCAGGAGGACUUGAGUUCAAAUCCAGCC
Long non-coding RNA from Phascolarctos cinereus (koala), 1494 nucleotides. RefSeq lists it as uncharacterized. The record is from RefSeq and is a predicted model, not a curated record. NCBI's taxonomy places the organism in Eukaryota, Metazoa, Chordata, Mammalia, Diprotodontia, Phascolarctidae.